This 460-nucleotide ribosomal RNA is filed under the name uncultured bacterium. RNAcentral's name for it is "partial 16S ribosomal RNA". It matches the Rfam family "Bacterial small subunit ribosomal RNA", at positions 338 to 795 of the family's 1533-position model. The record is from RNAcentral.
CCUACGGGCGGCAGCAGUGAGGAAUAUUGGUCAAUGGACGAGAGUCUGAACCAGCCAAGUAGCGUGAAGGAUGACUGCCCUAUGGGUUGUAAACUUCUUUUAUAUGGGAAUAAAAUGUUCCACGUGUGGGAUUUUGUAUGUACCAUAUGAAUAAGGAUCGGCUAACUCCGUGCCAGCAGCCGCGGUAAUACGGAGGAUCCGAGCGUUAUCCGGAUUUAUUGGGUUUAAAGGGAGCGUAGGUGGAUUGUUAAGUCAGUUGUGAAAGUUUGCGGCUCAACCGUAAAAUUGCAGUUGAAACUGGCAGUCUUGAGUACAGGAGAGGUGGGCGGAAUUCGUGGUGUAGCGGUGAAAUGCGUAGAUAUCACGAAGAACUCCGAUUGCGAAGGCAGUUCACUGGACUGCAACUGACACUGAGGCUCGAAAGUGUGGGUAUCAAACAGGAUUAGAUACCCGGGUAGUC